Non-coding RNA from Vicugna pacos (alpaca), 197 nucleotides. The record is from RefSeq and is a predicted model, not a curated record. NCBI's taxonomy places the organism in Eukaryota, Metazoa, Chordata, Mammalia, Artiodactyla, Camelidae.
AUGGCCAAGAUGCACAUAAGCAAAUGAAAGCUACAAUGAGGUAUCACCUCACACCAGUCAGAAUGGCUGUCAUUCAAAAGUCCACAAAUGAUAAGUGCUGGAGAUGCUGUAGAGAAAGGAAACCCUCCUAUUCUGCUGGUGGGAAUGCAGUUUGCUGCAGCCAUUAUGGAAAACGGUAUGGAGAUUCCUCAAAAAAC